RNAcentral lists this ribosomal RNA (490 nucleotides) under uncultured bacterium. Its description in RNAcentral is "partial 16S ribosomal RNA". It matches the Rfam family "Bacterial small subunit ribosomal RNA", at positions 28 to 507 of the family's 1533-position model. The record is from RNAcentral.
GAUGAACGCUAGCUACAGGCUUAACACAUGCAAGUCGCGGGGCAGCAUGGGGGUUGCUUGCAAUCCCCGAUGGCGACCGGCGCACGGGUGAGUAACGCGUAUCCAACCUGCCCUUCACCACGGGAUAACCCGGCGAAAGUCGGACUAAUACCGUAUGUUGUCCAUUGACGGCAUCCGAUUUGGACGAAAGGUUUGGCGGUGAAGGAUGGGGAUGCGUCCGAUUAGCUGGAUGGCGGGGUGACGGCCCACCGUGGCGACGAUCGGUAGGGGUUCUGAGAGGAAGGUCCCCCACACUGGAACUGAGACACGGUCCAGACUCCUACGGGAGGCAGCAGUGAGGAAUAUUGGUCAAUGGGCGUAAGCCUGAACCAGCCAAGUAGCGUGCAGGAUGACGGCCCUAUGGGUUGUAAACUGCUUUUAUGCGGGGAUAAAGUGGCCCACGUGUGGGUUUUUGCAGGUACCGCAUGAAUAAGGACCGGCUAAUUCCGUG